AAUGAACGCUGGCGGCAGGCCUAACACAUGCAAGUCGAACGGAUCCUUCGGGAUUAGUGGCGGACGGGUGAGUAACGCGUGGGAACAUACCCUUUGGUACGGAAUAGCCUCGGGAAACUGGGAGUAAUACCGUAUGUGGUCGAGAGACGAAAGAUUUAUCGCCAAAGGAUUGGCCCGCGUUGGAUUCGGUAGUUGGUGGGGUAAUGGCCUACCAAGCCGACGAUCCAUAGCUGGUUUGAGAGGAUGAUCAGCCACACUGGGACUGAGACACGGCCGAGACUCCUACGGGAGGCAGCAGUGGGGAAUCUUAGACAAUGGGGGAAACCCUGAUCUAGCCAUGCCGCGUGAUCGAUGAAGGCCUUAGGGUUGUAAAGAUCUUUCAGGUGGGAAGAUAAUGACUGUACCACCAGAAGAAGCCCCGGCUAACUCCGUGCCAGCCGCCGCGGUAA
Molecule: ribosomal RNA, 449 nt
Filed under: uncultured bacterium
Lineage: Bacteria
Description: partial 16S ribosomal RNA
Rfam family: Bacterial small subunit ribosomal RNA
Source: RNAcentral